CGCUCGGUGGCCUUGUGGUUAGAGCGUCCACCUCUGAUGCGGUAGGUCGUGGGUUCUAUCCCCGGUCGAGUAA
Non-coding RNA from Potamilus streckersoni, 73 nucleotides. NCBI's taxonomy places the organism in Eukaryota, Metazoa, Mollusca, Bivalvia, Unionida, Unionidae. The record is from the annotation of a GenBank genome assembly.